CACCAUAUAUACCAGACAAAAAAUCAUUGAAACUUUAAAUGAAAUUUAAAAAAUGUGAAAAUAACAGUAACAAAAAAUAAUACAAGAAGAAAAGGAAAUCACGAAACACAAAGAGCUAAAACCAAGUAGAACACAAAGAAAUCAGGAAAAGGAAUCACGAACAGGAAAAAAUUUAAAAACGAUUAAAAAAGAAAGAAGAGUACCUGAAUCGAUGUGAGAGAGAAAGACAAGCUUCGAUUUGUGAGAGUAGAGGCCGGAGAAAGGAGGACAAGCUUCGAUUUGGAGUUCGAUUUGGAGUUAGGGUUCGAUUUGACGAGUGAGAGAGAGGACGACUGCG
RNAcentral lists this long non-coding RNA (337 nucleotides) under Trifolium pratense (red clover). Its description in RNAcentral is "long non-coding RNA (TPRA_LNC009548)". The record is from RNAcentral. Lineage: Eukaryota; Viridiplantae; Streptophyta; Magnoliopsida; Fabales; Fabaceae.